Aegilops tauschii subsp. strangulata is the source of this 1441-nucleotide long non-coding RNA. RefSeq lists it as uncharacterized. The record is from RefSeq and is a predicted model, not a curated record. NCBI's taxonomy places the organism in Eukaryota, Viridiplantae, Streptophyta, Magnoliopsida, Poales, Poaceae.
UCGGCUCGAAAAGAGUGGUGGGCCGCAGCUAUCGUGGGUUGCAGGUUGCGGUCAAAGCCUAGCCCCCAAUCCCCUUCCGUCCCGAGCCCCACGCCCCACACGCCGCUCCAUCUCCGCCCGUGCCAUCCGCCGCCGCCGCCAUGCCCCUCCUCCUCCCCUUGGUUUCUCUCCUCUUCGAGCUGCCUCUCCUCCACCCGCACCAUCGACCAUCUCCCUACCUCUUUCUCCUGUCCGCGAGACAGUGCCUUCCCACGUUCUCGAUCCGGCAUUGCCGUGCACGGUGGUUUCAGAUCGUGCGCAGGUCGCAGGCAUGGAAGUAAGGGGCGUGGUGGUUUCUGUGAUGUGUAUGGAGGAGCGGGGGAAGGUGAGGAUGACGGACAGGUGGGAAGGCGCAGCAAGACUGGAGCUGCAGCGCUCGCAUCAUGAUGGCGUGGAGCCGUCCAUCACUACCCAUCGACCCUAGUUUAGAUAUGUACAGAUCAGACGAAGAAGAGAAGAGGCAACCCGUUCGCUAUGGUGAGUUGCAAGGUAGCGGGAGGAUGCCGGUUAUAGCAAAAGGAGCAGGCUGGUGAGGAGGGAAAGCAGCACCGGAAGCCUACAGUGAUGGAAAGAAUCAGAAUCCCAACAAAAAUACUGUUCAAUGCUAGAUGCAGCAGCUAGGCCUCCCAGAUGAAGUGUACUCAACACAGAAGGCAAGAGCAAUUGGUCUUGGCGCAACUAUUCACUUCUAUCCCUCCAAGCAUCAACUGGACAACAAUCUUCCAAGACAAUCAAUAUCAAUCCAUGUAUCCAACAAACUAGAAGAUGUUGAAGAUCAACUAGCAAACGAAGCUCUCAAGUACAUGAAAAGCAUCCACCGUAAAGUGCCGUAAAGUGCUGCAGGACAUAAACUACGACAAGAUGCAGCUGCUCCAGCAGAAGUGUGAAGCUCUUGAGCAUCAGCAGAAAGAAAAGGACAACCUAAUAGACUAUUUUAGCAACAGUUGGUGCUAUAGCCUCGGUGGAGAUCACAUGGCAGCAAAGGAACUUUACCGUAUAAUAGAUAGCAACUUCACAGCCGGAUCAAUAUCCAAAGACAAUGAUUGGAAUCAUAUUUUGUCGCAAGUAAGAUAUGUUGCUGAUCAUACAGCCACACAAUCAGAGUAUGAACUCCAACAGACAAACAAGUACUACUGGAGCUUGGAUGAUGAUGUUGAAGGAAUUUCUGCUAUGAACAAUGAAAACAUCCAACCACAACCACUAUGAACAAUUGCCUGAACAAGUUUUCAGCGCCGAUGAUCCACCAAUCACACUGACUAAUGUUCAUGACUUCAUAAUGGCUAUAAGAUGUCUCUCUCCCUAUCUACCUUCCUUCCUAAUAGCAUUGUAAAUAUUUUAUCGUAAGCUUCUUAGAUCACUAUGUAUCACGAAUAAUCCAUGUGUUCUAAUCUGCCCCUAAAUA